This is a small nucleolar RNA of Cucurbita moschata (crookneck pumpkin), 97 nucleotides long. RefSeq annotates it as small nucleolar RNA snoR116. The transcript has a single exon. The record is from RefSeq and is a predicted model, not a curated record. Lineage: Eukaryota; Viridiplantae; Streptophyta; Magnoliopsida; Cucurbitales; Cucurbitaceae.
UGGCAGUGACGACGAAUUCAUAUACCAUCAAACUAUGAAAGCGGUGUCCUGUUUCUGGGGCGAGCUUGUUGAUGUCAACAUGAAUGUUUCUGAGCCU